UCCUUCCAGUCAGGUUGCCAGGACUGAGCUAUUGAGGCCACAGUGCCCAGGGAGACCCACUUAGGCUGAAUCUGCCCAAGGAGCAAGGGUUGCCAGGCAGCAGGACCAGGAUGACAUUCUGCUCGGUGUGAGGCAAGACCAUGGUGUAAGAAUGGUAGUCAGGCCAGGAGUAUGAACUGUGGAGAGGUGGCCAAGAUGCCUACAUAGGGGUCAGCAGCAGACUCGAACUUCUCUGGUAAAGUCUCUAGACUCCCAAGAGAAGAACCCUGCUGGACACAAGCAGGAAACUAGGUCCCCCGAAGGAGAACAGGAAUAUGGCAAAAAGGCUUGGAUUCCAGAUUCAAGAACCAUUUACAGUGAGACCUAGUGAUAGCCAUCAAUAGUCUGGGUGAGGUGAAAGAGGGCAGGACCCCAGCAUUCUGUGCUGUCUCACAUACCAGGAGGAAGGAGGCCUAGAGUCCUGAAAUCUGGGAAGAGCUGUCCAGCUGCUCACCCUGAGCUGAGGUCCACAGAUGGCUUUGGUCAAGAUUGUCCUCCUCUGAGCAAAGACCAAAGAUGUGCUAACACUGCAAGUUCCUGCCCACUACCCAAGUGUGUGUGCCAUUCACCACAGCCUAUGCAGAGAAAGGCUGGAAGAGGUCUGUGUUCAAUGUGAUUGCAGUACCUUCAAAGUGCCUGUAAGCCACGGCUCCUGUAGCUGAAGUACACUGCAGAUAGAGUUCUGCUCUAUGGCCAGGCUGCGGAAAGGUGGCCUUGACGGGUAGCUCUCAGAAGCAUGAUGGAAGUCAGCAGUGAGCAUCUCCUUCGUGGCACACUGGCAGGAGCCGUAGCACCAGGACGACGUUUGGUAUGCCAGGCACAUCCUGUGCCUCACACAUCCAGGGACUGCAAUCAGGUAGCUGAUGAGAAUUCAAGUCACAUCGCCUGGACCAUUGCCGCAGUGAACUGAUUCAUGCUGCUACUUCGAGGUGGGAGAAGGGACAGUGGGGCCCAGAGACAAACCAGCCUGGCUCUAUUAUACAGCUGCUGUUCUCAAGCUGAAACGUUCCGUCCUUUCCCACUCCCUGUCUUGCUGCUGAGCUGGCUACCUGUGAAGCCUGAAGAUUCCAGCCCCAGGUUCUGACUGAACAAUGGUAUUAUGUGAUGUAUAAAGAGUACCCAGGCAACGGAGACAGGCAUGGCUUCAUUCACUCAGUGCCCAGUGGCUUUUGAACGCUCCAGCAUUCAGCCUUUAUCCUGAGCAGCUCUGGGCCUCUCCCCUCCCAUUUAUUGCUCAGCUGUCCUCAUCAUAAUCUUUCCCCUGUCUGCAAGAGAGCCAUGAAUGAGGGAAGGAAAGGGGGGAGACAAAGAUACUCUGGUAACCAGAAAGACUCCUGAUUGUGGGUGAAGAGAUCUGAGGUUUGGUCUCUGGUGCCAUCACUCAUGAGGGAACCUUGAGUGCAUCUCUAGUCAGCUCCAGGUUCCCUUCCCGAUCUAAGUCUCUGGUAAGAGAAUCAGGAAGAAAGUCCAACGGGAGCUUUGCCAACUCUGACAUUCUAUCAUGUGAGUACACACAGCUGGAUGGCAUCACUCUGCUCUCAUAUCUUAGUCACAAAGGUUCUCCACUGGAUCAGGAUAUUUUCCUUGGCUGUGACAUCAGCCCAGGACAGAAGAUAAGUAACAGCACACAGGUGAUUCCCAUGAUCCACAGAUCCCCCUCGUCUACAGCAGCAGUCACUUGAUCCCAACUCCCCAUUUGUUGUCUUAGAAGAAUAAGAAACCCAGUUCCUCCUACGCUGACUCCUCCUUUUCCUUCCCUUCCCCUUCUCCCUCCCCCCUCCUUUCCUCUCCUCCCCUAUUUUUUUUUAAAAAAGAAAGCAGACGUGAACUUUUCUGUGAAAACAUUGUUUUAAAAUGGCAGACCAAAUAAAACUCACCAGAAGGCUGUAUCUGACAGGAGCCUUUAUCUUAUUAACUUCAGAACUGAUACAAACCCAAAGAACCUCAAUUCCAGGAGCUCUGUUGUAUACAACCGUGGCAUCAGGCCUAACCCUGAGAGGAAAAGGAUACCUCACUGUGAUUUCUUGAAGAAGCAACCCAAAGUGGAUCCAGUGCUGUCAGCUAUCCUGCUAGCUAACAUCUGACUAGCACCACACUGCCCCUAUUUCCUACAGAGACAUCCCCCUCACUAUCCCAGAACUUUAGAUCCCCAUCUUGCAAAGCCACAAGGAGGCAAUGACAUGUUGUCUGUCUGAGUUCCUAUUUGUCCAAAGAGAAUCUCAGUCUCCACAUCUGGUCUCCCUGGCCAAGCCUGCCAGGAAUAGGGAAGAGACUGGAGAACUUCAGGCAGACAUUGAUUCCACAGAAUCCCACACUGGCUAUGACAUCCCAUGAACCUAUGGUAAAAUCAUAGCCCAUCUUCAUAGCCUUCAUAGUGAUCCCAGAAGACAAAAGUUUGUUACUUCAGCAAGGACUGAACAACUAAAUUUGCUGACACGGGGGCGGGGGUGUGUGUUAAGAAUGCAGGAAAAGACGAUGUCUCCCACCCACUCUUUGUUACAUUAACAGCCAGACAGCAAGCAACCUGGGGCUGUAUGUAAGCCUCUCUGGUGCUGAUGUGGGUAAGCUAUCUUACAGCCACUUCAGCUGUCAGAAGAAUCUCUGCCUCAAUGACGACAGCAUCGACACAGGAGGCAGGAGGCCAGCUCUCUGUUCCUCAUCAAAUCCAAACCUCUCUCACAACACAGACCAUACUGCUAUGGCAAAAGACACAAGAAGCUAUCUGUCUCCAAACGUAGGUGUGGAGCUAGGAAUGUUGAUUACAGAAAGGAUUCUGGAACUGAGUUUCAGAAUGAGCUUUCACGGGCUAUGUGAGGAGUACACUAAAGGCUAGGAGUGGUCCAGGAGGUGAAAGCAAUAAGUCAGAGAGAGGUCCGGAGGCUGAGUCAGGGCAGUGGCAAUGGAGUGGGAAAGAGAAGGCUGUGGCAGCAGAAUGAGUUCAGUCUGGGAGGUAUCUGGACACUGGGUUAGCAUUCUGGUCAGUUUUAUAUCAACUUGGCACAACCCAGAGUCAUUUGGGAAGAGGGACUCUAAACUGAGAAAUGCCUCCCUAUAGGCAAGUGUCAGGUAUGUUUUUAAUUAAUGCUUGAUAUAGUUGGUGCCACCCUUGGAUGGGGAAUGGGAGAGGGGUAUAAGAGUAGUAUAAGAAAGGCUGAGCAAGCCAUAAGGAACAAGCCAGUAAGCAGCAUUCUCUACGGCCUCUGCUUCAGCUCCUGCCUCCAUGUUUCUGCCUUGAGUUCCUGCCCUGCCUUCCCUUACUGAUGAAACAUGACCUGAGAGUUAUAAGGUGGUUGUGACAAGUCCCCAGGACCACUGAGGAAUGGAGAGAGCUAACCAACGGGGACAAAGUACCAGAAACACCUAUUGUGACUCAUCUGUGAUGGUGACUAACAAGACCAAGGUCCACAGAUGAGGAAGUUAUGCCUGUGAGAGAGGUCAAGUUGCCCAAGCAUGACCCAGUCUGACCUGGCUUGUGUUGCUGACCAUCAGGAACCCCUCACCAAGCAUCAACACAGAUAUCCAGAGGCCCAGGGCUAGUGGUGGGAGCUGAGCCUCAAAGGCUCUUGAUUCUGUGAACUCCUGAAUGCAGUGAAGUGAAGCACCUGCUCAGAUCAAGAAGGACAAGCAGAAUCUUAAGAGAGCUGACUGGACAGGUGGGAAGAGUGUGCUCCAACAGAGGCUGCAGAGGAGAGGUGAGUUUUGCAUGAUGCUGAGGCAUCAUGGGAUGCAGCAGUGCAGGGCCUGCUCCUGUUCUUCCAGACAGGCCAGCCUCUGUGUUGGGCUGUCUUUUCCCUUCCAGGUGCUAGGGGGAGAGCUAGACCCCUCUCAUUUCUUUAAAAAUCAGCAUUAUUAAUCAAUAACUGACAUGCAACCUAUUGUAUAUAAUUAAAGUGUGUGUGUUAAUAAGCUUUGACAUAUACAGACAACUAGGAAGCCAUCAUCACAGUUAAAGAGCUUACUCAUCAUCCUCUAAAAUUCCCUCCUUCCCACUCUGCCAACCCCUUGCCCUCACCCCAAACACCCCACUGAUCUGCUUUCUUUUCCUAUAAACCAGUUAUCCUCUCCAAUACCUAGAAAGAUCAGUCUUUCUAAUAUCAGCCAUUCUGUUAGGAUGGAUAGUUGUAUCUCAGUGUGGCUGAUUUUAUUUUUGAUUAUGUGUGUGCAUGUGCAUCUAGGGGUCAGGUAUGGGUACCAUGUGUAUGCCUGGUGCAUUUAAAGUCCAGAAAAGCAUGUCAGGCCCUCUGGAGCUGGAAUUACAGGUGGUUGUGUGCCAUCUGAUAUGAGUACUAGGAACUGCAUCCAGGUCCUCUGGAAGAAUAGCAAGUGGUCUGAACCACUGGGCUAUCUAUUUAGCUUCAGUGGGCAUUUCCCCUAUGACUAACAAUAUUUAACAUCUUAUCAUGAUCUUAUUAUCCAUGUACCUUCUUCUCUAGUGUAAUAUCUAUUCAACUCUUCCCCUGACUUCAAUGGGGUUAUUUUAUUUUUGUUGAAAGCCUUGUAACUUAUGGAUACAAGUCCUUCAUCAAACAAAAUUUAUGGGCAGUGCCUUCCAGUCUAUGGCUUGUCUCUUUAUUCUCUUGACAGUAUCAAUGACUAAAAAUAGGUUUUAAGAUGAAUAAAGUCUGAUUUGUUGGUAUUUUCAUUUGGCAGAUUAUGUUCCCUGGUGUUAUAUUUAAAAACUUUGCCUAAACCACAGUCAUUAAUGUUUUCUUCUAGAUUUUUUUACAUUUAGAUUUAGCAUCCAUUUUGACCUAAUUAUUGCCUAAUUAUGCAAGUUGGGAGUCAAAGUUCAUUUUUUGCAUAUGGGUAUUCCAUUACUCCACCAUGACUUGUUUUAAAAAGACUAUGUUUUCCUCCACUGACUAGCUUCCAUUUUUGCUAGCUUCCAGGUUGGGGAACGUAGUUCAACUGGCAGAUGGUUGCCUAGCAUGCUUGGGACCCUAGUUUUUCUUUCCCUGUAUGAAAGUCAACUUGGGAGGCAGACACAGGAGGAUCAGAGGUUCAAGUUCAUCCUGAGCUGUAGAUAAGUUUCAAGGCUAACCUGGGCUACAUGUUAGCCUUUGAGAUCUUUCUCAAAAAAAGGAAACAAACAAGACCUUACUUCAAACAAACAAGCAGCAGUGUGGAUUGCCCAUCUAUGUUUGGAACUGUGUACAAACUUGCAGUAUUCUCUCUCUCUCUCUCUCUCUCUCUCUCUCUCUCUCUCUCUCUCUCUCUCUCUCUCCCCUUGUCUGUCAUGAGGUCCUUACUAUGCUGUUUUGACAACUGAAGCUUUACAGUAAGCUUUUACACCAGGCAAUGAGUCUUCCAGGUCUUUCUUUUUUAAAAUGCUGUGGAAUGUUCCAGAUCUGUUCAGUUUCCACACCAAUGGUAGACUUGGUAUCUGUGGUAUCCCUUCUACUCUCUUUUAUCCCUAAAGCAUUGUUCUGGAGAAACACUGAGCUUGAGGACACAGCAGCCCUCUGAUCAAAGACUCUCAAGAAGACCGAACUGAACUGAGCUGAAGGCAUGACCUUCCCAUGUCUAAGAGAAAGCAAAAAUAGUUGAAUCCAGACCUUCCCCAUCUGGACAAGCAGAGUCCAGAGCAGGUCUAGCCCAACCCUCAGUGAACACUGUAGAGGGAGACAUGAAGCAGAGGAAGACUCGGUGAGAGCCAGAAAUGUGAUGAAAUACCAACAGAUAAGCUCAGCAAAGCACCUUCACAGUCUUGAUUUCUUAUAAAUAACAAGUGCUCCGUGUGGUGUUGGCCAGGCUAA
Rattus norvegicus (Norway rat) is the source of this 5795-nucleotide non-coding RNA. The record is from RefSeq and is a predicted model, not a curated record. NCBI's taxonomy places the organism in Eukaryota, Metazoa, Chordata, Mammalia, Rodentia, Muridae.